RNAcentral lists this ribosomal RNA (297 nucleotides) under Triticum aestivum (bread wheat). RNAcentral describes it as "partial small subunit ribosomal RNA". Lineage: Eukaryota; Viridiplantae; Streptophyta; Magnoliopsida; Poales; Poaceae. The record is from RNAcentral.
AUAGACUCAGAUUCAAGUUCCGAAGUAAUUACACACAUAGAAAUUCAAAAAGAAAUCGAUGUGAUCCACGUCAUAAUUCAUAUUGGAUUCCCAAAUUUAUUAAUGAAAAAAGAAGCAAUCGCAGAAUUAGAGAAAGGUCUACAAAAGGAAAUUAGCUUUGUAAACCCGAGAUUUAAUAUUUUUAUUGGAAAAGUUAAAGAACCUUAUAGACAACCUAAUAUAUUGACUUCAUCAAUCUCAACAUAUUAUGCCAGCUUAAUUUCUCAAAAGUGCACAUCCAAAAAACCCUUUUUUUAG